This 1377-nucleotide ribosomal RNA is filed under the name uncultured bacterium. Its description in RNAcentral is "16S ribosomal RNA". It matches the Rfam family "Bacterial small subunit ribosomal RNA". The record is from RNAcentral.
UUCGCCCUUAGAGUUUGAUCCUGGCUCAGGACGAACGCUGGCGGCGUGCCUAACACAUGCAAGUCGAACGGAGAUGUUUAUUUCGGUAGAUAUCUUAGUGGCGCACGGGUGAGUAACGCGUGAAUAACCUGACCCGAAGAGGGGGAUAACACCUGGAAACAAGUGUUAAUACCGCAUAAGACCACGGACCGGCAUCGGUCAGAGGUCAAAGGAGGAAUCCGCUUUGGGAGGGGUUCGCGUCCCAUUAGGUAGUUGGUGAGGUAACGGCCCACCAAGGCAACGAUCGGUAGCCGGACUGAGAGGUUGAACGGCCACAUUGGGACUGAGACACGGCCCAGACUCCUACGGGAGGCAGCAGUGGGGAAUAUUGCACAAUGGGGGAAACCCUGAUGCAGCGACGCCGCGUGGAGGAAGAAGGUCUUCGGAUUGUAAACUCCUGUUGUUGGGGAAGAUAAUGACGGUACCCAACAAGGAAGUGACGGCUAACUACGUGCCAGCAGCCGCGGUAAAACGUAGGUCACAAGCGUUGUCCGGAAUUACUGGGUGUAAAGGGAGCGCAGGCGGGAAGACAAGUUGGAAGUGAAAUCUAUGGGCUCAACCCAUAAACUGCUUUCAAAACUGUUUUUCUUGAGUAGUGCAGAGGUAGGCGGAAUUCCCGGUGUAGCGGUGGAAUGCGUAGAUAUCGGGAGGAACACCAGUGGCGAAGGCGGCCUACUGGGCACCAACUGACGCUGAGGCUCGAAAGUGUGGGUAGCAAACAGGAUUAGAUACCCUGGUAGUCCACACCGUAAACGAUGAUUACUAGGUGUUGGAGGAUUGACCCCUUCAGUGCCGCAGUUAACACAAUAAGUAAUCCACCUGGGGAGUACGACCGCAAGGUUGAAACUCAAAGGAAUUGACGGGGGCCCGCACAAGCAGUGGAGUAUGUGGUUUAAUUCGACGCAACGCGAAGAACCUUACCAAGUCUUGACAUCCCUUGACAGACAUAGAAAUAUGUAAUCUCUUCGGAGCAAGGAGACAGGUGGUGCAUGGUUGUCGUCAGCUCGUGUCGUGAGAUGUUGGGUUAAGUCCCGCAACGAGCGCAACCCUUAUGGUCAGUUACUACGCAAGAGGACUCUGGCCAGACUGCCGUUGACAAAACGGAGGAAGGUGGGGAUGACGUCAAAUCAUCAUGCCCUUUAUGACUUGGGCUACACACGUACUACAAUGGCGUUAAACAAAGAGAAGCAAGACCGCAAGGUGGAGCAAAACUCAGAAACAACGUCCCAGUUCGGACUGCAGGCUGCAACUCGCCUGCACGAAGUCGGAAUUGCUAGUAAUCGUGGAUCAGCAUGCCACGGUGAAUACGUUCCCGGGCCUUGCACACACCGCCCGUCA